This 795-nucleotide ribosomal RNA is filed under the name uncultured bacterium. Its description in RNAcentral is "bacterial SSU rRNA". It matches the Rfam family "Bacterial small subunit ribosomal RNA", at positions 10 to 794 of the family's 1533-position model. The record is from RNAcentral.
AGUUUGAUCAUGGCUCAGAUUGAACGCUGGCGGCAGGCCUAACACAUGCAAGUCGAGCGGUAGCACAAGAGAGCUUGCUCUCUGGGUGACGAGCGGCGGACGGGUGAGUAAUGUCUGGGGAACUGCCUGAUGGAGGGGGAUAACUACUGGAAACGGUAGCUAAUACCGCAUAACGUCUUCGGACCAAAGUGGGGGACCUUCGGGCCUCACGCCAUCAGAUGUGCCCAGAUGGGAUUAGCUAGUAGGUGGGGUAAUGGCUCACCUAGGCGACGAUCCCUAGCUGGUCUGAGAGGAUGACCAGCCACACUGGAACUGAGACACGGUCCAGACUCCUACGGGAGGCAGCAGUGGGGAAUAUUGCACAAUGGGCGCAAGCCUGAUGCAGCCAUGCCGCGUGUGUGAAGAAGGCCUUCGGGUUGUAAAGCACUUUCAGCGAGGAGGAAGGGUAGUGUGUUAAUAGCACAUUGCAUUGACGUUACUCGCAGAAGAAGCACCGGCUAACUCCGUGCCAGCAGCCGCGGUAAUACGGAGGGUGCAAGCGUUAAUCGGAAUUACUGGGCGUAAAGCGCACGCAGGCGGUUUGUUAAGUCAGAUGUGAAAUCCCCGCGCUUAACGUGGGAACUGCAUUUGAAACUGGCAAGCUAGAGUCUUGUAGAGGGGGGUAGAAUUCCAGGUGUAGCGGUGAAAUGCGUAGAGAUCUGGAGGAAUACCGGUGGCGAAGGCGGCCCCCUGGACAAAGACUGACGCUCAGGUGCGAAAGCGUGGGGAGCAAGCAGGAUUAGAUACCCCGGUAGU